CGGCGGACGGGUGAGUAACGCGUGGGUAACCUGCCUCAUACAGGGGAGUAACCCGGCGAAAGUCGGACUAAUACCGCAUGAAGCAGGGGCCCCGCAUGGGGAUAUUUGCUAAAGAUUCAUCGCUGAUAGAUAGGCAUGCGUUCCAUUAGGCAGUUGGCGGGGUAACGGCCCACCAAACCGACGAUGGAUAGGGGUUCUGAGAGGAAGGUCCCCCACAUUGGUACUGAGACACGGACCAA
This 239-nucleotide ribosomal RNA is filed under the name uncultured bacterium. RNAcentral's name for it is "partial 16S ribosomal RNA". It matches the Rfam family "Bacterial small subunit ribosomal RNA", at positions 96 to 334 of the family's 1533-position model. The record is from RNAcentral.